This 569-nucleotide ribosomal RNA is filed under the name uncultured soil bacterium. Its description in RNAcentral is "bacterial SSU rRNA". It matches the Rfam family "Bacterial small subunit ribosomal RNA", at positions 338 to 917 of the family's 1533-position model. The record is from RNAcentral.
CCUACGGGAGGCAGCAGUGGGGAAUAUUGCACAAUGGGCGCAAGCCUGAUGCAGCGACGCCGCGUGAGGGAUGACGGCCUUCGGGUUGUAAACCUCUUUCAGUAGGGAAGAAGCGAAAGUGACGGUACCUGCAGAAGAAGCGCCGGCUAACUACGUGCCAGCAGCCGCGGUAAUACGUAGGGCGCAAGCGUUAUCCGGAAUUAUUGGGCGUAAAGAGCUCGUAGGCGGUUUGUCGCGUCUGCCGUGAAAGUCCGGGGCUCAACUCCGGAUCUGCGGUGGGUACGGGCAGACUAGAGUGAUGUAGGGGAGACUGGAAUUCCUGGUGUAGCGGUGAAAUGCGCAGAUAUCAGGAGGAACACCGAUGGCGAAGGCAGGUCUCUGGGCAUUAACUGACGCUGAGGAGCGAAAGCAUGGGGAGCGAGCAGGAUUAGAUACCCUGGUAGUCCAUGCCGUAAACGUUGGGCACUAGGUGUGGGGGACAUUCCACGUUUUCCGCGCCGUAGCUAACGCAUUAAGUGCCCCGCCUGGGGAGUACGGCCGCAAGGCUAAAACUCAAAGGAAUUGACGGA